AACGAACGCUGGCGGCGCGCCUAAUACAUGCAAGUCGAGCGAGAAGACGUAGCAAUACGUUUGUAAAGCGGCGAACGGGUGAGGAAUACAUGGGUAACCUACCCUCGAGUGGGGAAUAACUAGCCGAAAGGUUAGCUAAUACCGCGUACGCUCCUUGGACUUCGGUUCAGGGAGGAAAGCGAUACCGUGGGUAUCGCGCUCUUGGAUGGGCUCAUGUCCUAUCAGCCUGUUGGUGAGGUAACGGCUCACCAAGGCUUCGACGGGUAGCUGGUCUGAGAGGACGAUCAGCCACACUGGCACUGCGACACGGGCCAGACUCCUACGGGAGGCAGCAGUAAGGAAUAUUGCGCAAUGGGCGAAAGCCUGACGCAGCGACGCCGCGUGGGGGAUGGAAGGUCUUC
RNAcentral lists this ribosomal RNA (401 nucleotides) under uncultured bacterium. RNAcentral describes it as "bacterial SSU rRNA". It matches the Rfam family "Bacterial small subunit ribosomal RNA", at positions 29 to 419 of the family's 1533-position model. The record is from RNAcentral.